CAGUGCCUGGCCAGACCCUGAAGACUACGAGGUGUGAGGCUGUCCCUGCCGGUGGAGGCUGAGCCCAGGGCUUGCAAUCCAGACCCUUCUGGAGGCCCGGCAGGGAACGGGCCAAGCCGGGGGGCGGCAGGUGCGGGGCCGAGUGCUGGGGUCCCCCCACCCUUGUCAAGUGUCCCUAAGAGACAGGGCUGGCUCCCGGGCUAGCCACCAGUACAGAUGUCCAGGGACCUGUGCUCAGAAUGCCCCGACGUUUGGGUGUUAAUGCCCUUCUUAUAAUGAAUUUGAUUAUUAAAUUUUAGUUUUGAAUGUGUAUUUGGUAAAUGAAGUCUGACGGGACCACGGAGCAGGCCCCGGGAAGCCUCAGCCCACGGGGGGCUGUCUGUCACCAGCUCCCCAGGACAAGUUCUUUGUCCCAACUCCCCAGCCCGGGAGAAGAAAGCUGAUGUUUCCCCCAUUACCGGGUGGCAUCUUAGGCUCCUAGAAGAGACUCAAGUACAAACUCCAGGGCCCUGUGGAAGCCAGGUUUUUGGUUCCUUAAAAGCAACAGACCUUGACAAAAAGCACCUAAAAAUACCAUAAAAUCAGCAUGUAUAUAUAUCUGGAAAGAACCCUCAAGAUCAUCCCUUCCGAUCUCUUCAUUUUAAGAGGAUGCCUGAGGCCCAGAGACGGUAAGCGGUGUCCCCAGACCACAGAGCUGGGGUUCAGCCUAGACUCCUCCCACGUGACACUCUUUCUAAAACACCACAGCACCUCUUACUUGGAAAAACGUUGUUCAACACAUAGAAGGACCAAGAGCUAUAAAGCCGUACCCUAGAAUCAUGUUUCCAGACUAGAGAAUAGUACUCUGUAUCUUUAUAGUCCAUUUGGACUUCAAUAAUUAGAAAGUGAUGAUUAUUUCCCAUUGUCCUGAGCUGUAGUUUUUAAAAUGCCAGCCUGGCUUGGGAAAAACAAAUUGGUUUCUACCAUUUUGUACCCAUUUUUGUAUAACUAAAUAACGUGCUCAUGGCCUGUAAUCCUAGUCUGUUUAUCCAAAUAGACUCUCUAGUGUACAAAUUGUGUUAACAAAUAUAUACUGUUAGGAACUAUACGUAAGAAAAAGUAAUGAAAUUCUAGCCCAAAGGUAAGACUUCAUGAAUGUGUGUGUGUGUCGGGUAUUUUUCGUUUAAUUUUUAUUGUUGUUGGUUUAAUUUUUUGUGAUUUCAACUUGGUCUUUUCUUCAAUACAUGUAAAUAGUAGCCCCAACCUGGAAACACCAGAAGAAUGGAUAAACAAGCUGAAGCCUAUUCAUGGAAGAGAAUACAACUCAGUGAUAAGAAGAAAAAGGAAAAACAGAGAUGGAGCUUACAGUCAUUGUGCUGAGAAGCUUUACGUGAAAGUAUUGUCUCACUUACAUAGAUUUCUAGAAGAGAAAACACUCAUCGAUGGUGGAAAAUCAGAAAAGAAGCUCUUCUGGAGGCAGAGUAGGAACAGGAAUUGACUGGAAAGGGGCACAGAGCGAUGUCCCCAUGGCGGGAGAGGUAAAGCUCUCUAUCUUGCUCGGGGCUUAGGUUACAAGAGUGUAUGGCCAUCCCCCAAACACAGCCGGUGUACAUGGAAGAUGUGCACAUUUCAUCCUAUGCAAAUGUUAUAUCCAAAGGAAAAACUACAAACAGACGUUGAACCCUCAUUCAUAACAUGCAUGCUGAAAUAUUUAGGGGGCGGUGUACUGCUGACUGUAAUUUACUUGGCACUGCCUUGUUCAAAACAAGGAAGCUUGCUGGGUGGAUAACGGAGUUGGACAGGUGGGCAUGCAGCAAGUACGGGAAAACGUUAAUUGUAGAAUCUAGGUGGUCGGUGUCUGUUAAAAAUUCUCACUACAUUGCUGUAUGCUUGAACGUUUUCACAAUAAAAUGUUGGAGGGAAAAGCCAUGUACGAGCAGAGCAGGAGAGAGCAGGCAUCUUCAUAAUUCAGGACCCUUUGGGCAUCGGAAAGAAGCAAGGACACAGGCUGGCCCUGGGGCGUCCCGUGGACCAUGUUAUGAUAUCCAGGAAUAUCUCUAUGGCAACGACAGACAGAAAGACUGCUGGAAACAAAAGAUAAUUUCCUGUUCCAGCUUUGGGGAAGACAAAACAAACACCUGAAAAAAAGGCAAUGAGAAAAGCACAAAUGUACCCCUCACCCCGCAAGGGAUUAGCUCACGUUAUCAGCAGAGACAAGCUGUGUUAAGGGGAGAUAGUGGCCGAGCCAGCACCAGAGGCUAAUCUCUCCGGGAAUUAAAGCUUCAUUAACUUGUUUUCGGCAUUUUUCAGGAAGAAUCCACAGAUUCUGAAGUAUGACCGUUUGCAUGUUAUUUCUUCUUAUCACUUGAAAAAAUAAAUAAAUAAAUAAAAAGAACACGGUUUGCCCACACGGGCAGUGACUGGUGGAUAAUGAAGACAUAAUGCUGACUGGUAUCUGGAACUUGUCACUUAUUGGAACAGGGAGAUCACUGCCACCUGCUGAGGCAGGACUGUUCCGGGCGUCACACUGAAAGAUGGCAUCACAGGAAGGGAAGCAGAGGCCAGAGGAUUCUCAGGGCGUCUCAGAGCCACUCCCAAAGCGAAAGCAAAUUUCCUGGACGGUGUGUGAUGUUCUGGGGAGGACUGAGGACAGAUAAGGACCACAGAGAGGCAGAAACCAUGCUUCGGGCCCUCUCCCCUUCCCCAGCUCUUCCUCCGGCAAGGCCCCUCCGCCCAGGGUCCUAGCACCGUGGUCUAGUUUGUAAUUUUGGAAAACCACCCCUUUCCAACAUCCCUCCUCAAGCCUUCAGAAAUCGUCUGCACUUCCACAGUGUGCAGAGCGGAAGCAGCAUGGAAUUCAGAGUUGGGAAAACCUGGGCUCCAGUCUCUGUGUUCCCUUCUGUCUGGGUGUUAAGAGUGCAGGAAGGGAGUGUCUCUGGGGGCGCAGUGUCCCCCAGGCCCCAAGGGCAGGAUGGCUGCGAGGCUCCAGGGGCCUCGCGCUGUGAGCACUCCUGGCGUAGCCUGGUGCCCACUGAACAUUUGGGGUCUGGCAAAGGGGGUGAGGGUGCAGAAUGGAGGAGACUGAAGGCAUUUCCCGUUCAAAAGCAGGUAUCCCGGGGCCAAAACACUGCUCAUUUACCCGUCACUGGUCGAGGGCCGCUGUGUGGCCAAGCAGGCUUUGGGCUGCCGUGCGGGGAGAGGGUUAGGCUCACCCUCUGUGCUGGGUUAGGUUAGAACAACACACAGUUUUCAUCUCACAGGGUCUGUGGGUCAGGAGUCCGGACCCGGCAAAGCUGGGGCCUCUGCUCACGGCGUCCCCAGGCUGAAAUCAAGGUGUCCACAGGAGCCCCGAUCUCAUCCGUGUAUCAGGGCCCCCUCCGGGGUCACUGGUUGCCAGCAGAAUCCAGUUCCUUGCAGGGGUAGGACGAGGUCCCGUUUUCUUUCUAUUUAUUUAUUUGUUAGUUUGUUUUUAUUGAACUAUAGUUGCUUUACAAUGUGUGUUAGUUUCAAAUGUACAGCGAAGUGCUUCAGUUAUACACAUAUAUUCCUUUUCAGAUUCUUUUCCCUUUGUAGCUUAUUACAAGAUCUUGAGCAGAGUUCCCUGUGCUAUACAGUAGAUCCUUGCUGGUUAUCUAUUUUGUAUACAGUAGUGUGUGUACGUUAACACGCUUGCCCCCUUGGUAACCAUAAGUUUGUUUUCUAUGUCUGAGUCUGUUUCUGUUUUGUAAAUAAAUUCAUUUGUAUCAUUUUUUUAGGUUCCACCUAUAAGUGAUAUCAUAUGAUAUUGGUCUUUCUCUGUCUGGCUUACUUAGUAAGAUAAUCUCUAGGUCUAUUCAUGUUGCUGCAAAUGGCAUUGUUUUGUUCUUUUUUACGGCCGAGUAAUAUUCCACUGUAUAAUAUAUACGUACCACAUCUUCUUUAACCAUUCCUCUGUUGAUGAACAUUUAGGUUGUUUCCAGGUCUGGGCUGUUGUCAAUAGUGCUGCUGUGAUCAUCGGGCAUAUGAACAUUGGUGCAUGUGUCUUUUUGAAUAAUAGUUUUCUCCAGAUAUAUGCCCAGGAGUGGGGUUGCUGGAUCAUAAGGUUUUUUAAGGAAUGAGGUCCCGUUUUCUUGUUGACUGUCAGUGAGGGUCACCUUCAGCUUCUAGAGGCCCCCCUUGGGUCCUAGCCUCUGACCACCCCCAACAGGGAUGCUCAGAGAGCCAGCAGGAUGGCUCUCGCUUCAAAUCUCCCUUCAGUCAGCUACGCAGGGCACAUAAUAUGUGAUAUACAGAAGGCGACCAAAUCGUCCCAUCGCUUUGCCAGUAGGAUGUAACCUUACCCAGGAAGAGGCCAGCCAUCCUAGUCACAGCUCCCACCUGUACUCGGGGGAGGGCGUUAUAUAGCAUGUGACCACUAGGGGGCAGAAUCUCGCGGUCCAUCUUAGAAAACUUGGAAUCCGGCCUGGGAGAGACGGGCUCAGAGCAUCAGGCCGACAGGGAGGGGACACAAGGCUCUGAGGCCUCCCCAGCUUCUGAGAGGUUCCAUAGCGUGAGAAGGGCUUUGGGUUAA
Molecule: long non-coding RNA, 4528 nt
Organism: Physeter macrocephalus (sperm whale)
Lineage: Eukaryota; Metazoa; Chordata; Mammalia; Artiodactyla; Physeteridae
Exons: 3
Source: RefSeq, a predicted model, not a curated record